GCAGUCGAAACGUUAAAUGUCGAGCUACCAUUAAAAAAUCUUGAGGAAUUUCAAGAGUUUGAUGCUGAUUUAAAAAACACAGCAUCAAAAACGAGGCAUUGUUUUUCCGGAUCAAAAUUUUUGAAGAAAAAACGGCUAAGAAAUGUAUAAGUAAAAUGGCAUCUACAUUGAUGAUAAAAAAUAUUGAAAAACACUACUCUGGAACUGGCAAAAAAAUGAAAGGCGUGGAAAAACUUAAUUUCAGCGCAACAGAAACAUUUAAGUGUGUGGAAGAUGUAGUAAAAGAAAAACUAGGUGAUUGUGAAGAGUGCAAAAAUUUCGCUGGAAAAGUUGGGCGGUGAUUUUCAGGGCAAGGAGACCGGAAACAUGGUCAGAAAGAACGAUCCUUAUCUGUAUAAUAUUGUAAAAUGUAUGAAUGUCUCCAUCUAUGGAUUGAUUGACUAACGACAGUUUGUUAGUUAACGACGAUUUGAUUGUUUAUA
Chelonus insularis is the source of this 482-nucleotide long non-coding RNA. RefSeq lists it as uncharacterized. The transcript has 3 exons. The record is from RefSeq and is a predicted model, not a curated record. Lineage: Eukaryota; Metazoa; Arthropoda; Insecta; Hymenoptera; Braconidae.